CAACAUAUCUGGUGUAGCUGUCAGGAUUCAGAGCAACCUCCUCACACCCUGGACCACCUAGUGAUCCCUCCUGGACUCAGCACUCAGCACCAGCACAAACCUACUGUGUUUCUCUGUCUCCACAUCUUUCCCUGAGUACAAAAGGUAGCCCUGCGUGAGUAGGCAUCUUCCAUCAUCAGAGAUCUCCAACUGAAGCUGACCUGCAGCCAGUCACCUGGUUCUUCAGACCAGGACAAGAAAUUGAAACUCAGUUUAAAAAGAUCACUCAAAAGGCUAAAUGGCUACAAGAUGACCCAUGGUUGGAAAGACAGACCCCUUAUAUGAUUUAUUUGACUGGUUACCUUCAGAGAGAGAUUACCCGGGAAUGAGCCUUCCUAGCAAUAUGGGGAAAAGCUACGUUUAAAAUGUUGAUUAUCAAUGCUUUCAGAAGAGGAAGAUCUCAAUCAAAAAGGGGAAAUGAGAAGAAAAGUAGCUCAGAGAUGUCUGAGCUAUGUGAGGUAUGCAAAAUGUAUCAGAUCCAGAGAGACAUGAGUAUUGAAAGCCAACUUGUAACUACUGCUAAUCAAAGCAUAUAUUCAUGGCAACUUGAAUCUGUGUCUCCUUGGUUGCAGUCCCCAAAUUUGGCCCAAAUAAAUUCUCGAC
This 642-nucleotide long non-coding RNA is filed under the name Homo sapiens (human). Its description in RNAcentral is "HSALNT0271524". The record is from RNAcentral. Lineage: Eukaryota; Metazoa; Chordata; Mammalia; Primates; Hominidae.